Molecule: transfer RNA, 67 nt
Filed under: Tripteroides bambusa
Lineage: Eukaryota; Metazoa; Arthropoda; Insecta; Diptera; Culicidae
Description: tRNA-Leu
Source: RNAcentral
ACUAUUUUGGCAGAUUAGUGCAAUAAAUUUAGAAUUUAUAUAUAUAAUUUAAAAAUUAUAAAUAGUA